RNAcentral lists this ribosomal RNA (407 nucleotides) under uncultured bacterium. Its description in RNAcentral is "partial 16S ribosomal RNA". It matches the Rfam family "Bacterial small subunit ribosomal RNA", at positions 28 to 526 of the family's 1533-position model. The record is from RNAcentral.
GACGAACGCUGGCGGCAUGCCUAAUACAUGCAAGUAGAACGCAGUUGCGAACGGGUGAGUAACGCGUAUGUAACUGCCUCAUAGCGGGGGAUAACUAUUGGAAACGAUAGCUAAUACCGCAUACUGUGAGAUGGACCUGCGGUGUAUUAGCUAGUUGGGUAGGUAAAGGCUCAACAAGGCGACGGUACAUAGCCGACCUGAGGGGGUGAUCGGCCAAAAUGGGACUUGGACACGGCCCAGACUCCUACGGGAGGCAGCAGUAGGGAAUCUUCGGAAAUGGACGGAAGUCUGACCGAGCACAUGCGCGGGAGGGAAGAAGGUUUUCGGAUCGGAAAGCUCUGUUGAGAGAGAAGCGGUAACUAAACAGAAAGGGACGGCUAACUACGUGCCAGCAGCCGCGGUAAUUC